This 73-nucleotide transfer RNA is filed under the name Ailuropoda melanoleuca (giant panda). It matches the Rfam family "tRNA". Rfam says of the family: Transfer RNA (tRNA) molecules are approximately 80 nucleotides in length. Their secondary structure includes four short double-helical elements and three loops (D, anti-codon, and T loops). The record is from Rfam by way of RNAcentral. Lineage: Eukaryota; Metazoa; Chordata; Mammalia; Carnivora; Ursidae.
GCCUGCCUGGCUCAGUGGGUAGAGCAUGUGACUCUUGAUCUCGGAGUCGCGAGUUCAAGCCCCAUGUUGGGCA